This 85-nucleotide ribosomal RNA is filed under the name Vibrio aquaticus. Lineage: Bacteria; Pseudomonadati; Pseudomonadota; Gammaproteobacteria; Vibrionales; Vibrionaceae. The record is from RNAcentral.
CCUGGCGGCCAUAGCGCCGUGGAACCACCUGAUCCCUUGCCGAACUCAGAAGUGAAACGCGGUAGCGCCGAUGGUAGUGUGGCAU